Molecule: non-coding RNA, 79 nt
Organism: Nicotiana attenuata
Lineage: Eukaryota; Viridiplantae; Streptophyta; Magnoliopsida; Solanales; Solanaceae
Source: Rfam
GUAAGGAUGAUGAAGAAAUCAUUCGGAUUCCCACUAAUGUACAUACUGUGAUUACUAUAACCAGCUACUUCUGACUUCC